Callithrix jacchus (white-tufted-ear marmoset) is the source of this 274-nucleotide long non-coding RNA. RefSeq lists it as uncharacterized. NCBI's taxonomy places the organism in Eukaryota, Metazoa, Chordata, Mammalia, Primates, Cebidae. The record is from RefSeq and is a predicted model, not a curated record.
CGAAAUCUCCUGUCAACAGCCACAUGAGGGAGCUUGGAAGCAGAUUAUCAAGCUCUUUGCCCAGGACAGCAGUUUGACCUGGAAGACAUCAAGAGCUGGAAUCAUCAUGCUGAGAUUCCUGACCUCUCCCAGAACUAUGAGACUUAGGAUUUUGCCUUUGCCUUGGGUAUGCCAUUUUCUAUGCACUGUGCUGGAUCAUGUACCCAGCCAGGCACAGUUGCUUGCACCUAUUUCCCAAAUACGCACAAGACUGAGGCAGGAGGAUCCCUUGAGU